AUGAACGCUGGCGGCGUGCCUAAUACAUGCAAGUCGAGCGAACAGACGAGGAGCUUGCUCCUCUGACGUUAGCGGCGGACGGGUGAGUAACACGUGGAUAACUUACCUAUAAGACUGGGAUAACUUCGGGAAACCGGAGCUAAUACCGGAUAACAUGUUGAACCGCAUGGUUCAACAGUGAAAGACGGUCUUGCUGUCACUUAUAGAUGGAUCCGCGCCGCAUUAGCUAGUUGGUAAGGUAACGGCUUACCAAGGCAACGAUGCGUAGCCGACCUGAGAGGGUGAUCGGCCACACUGGAACUGAGACACGGUCCAGACUCCUACGGGAGGCAGCAGUAGGGAAUCUUCCGCAAUGGGCGAAAGCCUGACGGAGCAACGCCGCGUGAGUGAAGAAGGUCUUCGGAUCGUAAAACUCUGUUAUUAGGGAAGAACAAAUGUGUAAGUAACUAUGCACGUCUUGACGGUACCUAAUCAGAAAGCCACGGCUAACUACGUG
This 496-nucleotide ribosomal RNA is filed under the name uncultured bacterium. RNAcentral's name for it is "partial 16S ribosomal RNA". It matches the Rfam family "Bacterial small subunit ribosomal RNA", at positions 29 to 507 of the family's 1533-position model. The record is from RNAcentral.